UCGGCCAUAGUAUAGGGGUAGAAUGCCUGACUGUCACUCAGGUGGCCCGAGUUCAAAUCUCGGUGGCCGAG
Anaeramoeba ignava is the source of this 71-nucleotide non-coding RNA. The record is from the annotation of a GenBank genome assembly. NCBI's taxonomy places the organism in Eukaryota, Anaeramoebidae.